Long non-coding RNA from Athene cunicularia (burrowing owl), 782 nucleotides. RefSeq lists it as uncharacterized. The transcript has 3 exons. The record is from RefSeq and is a predicted model, not a curated record. NCBI's taxonomy places the organism in Eukaryota, Metazoa, Chordata, Aves, Strigiformes, Strigidae.
GUACAGGGGAUUUGGCAUGGAUUGAUUUCUCUGGGCUCCUGGAUUCCAAUAUGAGCUCAGAGAACUCCUACGCCUGGAGAUCUACAUUCUCAUUCUUUUUCCUGUUUGUCAGGUGGGACCAGUUUCUAGAAACUCACUCAUCUGCUCUGGGGUGCAUGGCAGAAAAAAGCAACAUUGGGCUGACAAAAGCUGGUGUUUGCAGCAAGUGCCAAAGAUGACAAAGCAUUUGGGUAGUAGCUGACUGUGCUAUUCAGCCGGAAGGACAGGAGUAUCCGAGAAGCAGUUUCAUUGGGACUGGCUCAACUACCCAUUCACCUCUUCUUCAGCCUCCUUGCCUUCUGCUGUAACUCCUGUAUCCUUCUGGGAAUAUUAAUAUCUCAUUCCUUCCAGUCAGAAGCAGGUUCAUCCCAGGACUGCUUAUCAGGGCACAGCACCAAGUAGGACUGACUGCAACAGGCAUCUGAGGUUCCUGCUGCUGAAUGCAAAGGAGCUGUUAUGUGAGGAGAGAUGCAAAGUCUUGAUUGCUCCUGGGCCAUCUCUUUGUCUAAUGAGUAUCAUCUCUGAUAUUUCUUUAACCAGCUGUGCCUUGCCAGAUGAAGUCAGUAUUCCCCACCUGCUCAAGGAGUGCCCACAGCAGCCUGAAUCACCAACACACCUUGUUCUGAAAUAAAUCACAACAGCAAAAGGAUGUUGUUUGUGGCAGUUGAGAAAGUGCUUAUUAAAUGGCGAGCUUUGCUUUGCAUGCUUAUGGUCACAACUUCUUUCUUUUCCGAAAAAACCUA